CCUACGGGAGGCAGCAGUGAGGAAUAUUGGUCAAUGGGAGAGAUCCUGAACCAGCCAAGUCGCGUGAGGGAAGACGGCCCUAUGGGUUGUAAACUUCUUUUGUCGGAGAACAAAACCCGGGACGAGUCGCGGUCUGCGUGUACCCGAAGAAAAAGCAUCGGCUAACUCCGUGCCAGCAGCCGCGGUAAUACGGAGGAUGCGAGCGUUAUCCGGAUUUAUUGGGUUAAAGGGGUGCGUAGGCGGUCUGUUAAGGCAGCGGUAAAAUUGCGGGGCUCAACCCCGUCGGGCCGUUGAAACUGGCGGGCUUGAGUUGGCGAGAAGUACGCGGAAUGCGCGGUGUAGCGGUGAAAUGCAUAGAUAUGGCGCAGAACUCCGAUUGCGAAGGCAGCGUACCGGCGCGGAACUGACGCUGAGGCACGAAAGCGUGGGUAUCGAACAGGAUUAGAUACCCUAGUAGUC
RNAcentral lists this ribosomal RNA (459 nucleotides) under uncultured bacterium. RNAcentral describes it as "partial 16S ribosomal RNA". It matches the Rfam family "Bacterial small subunit ribosomal RNA", at positions 338 to 795 of the family's 1533-position model. The record is from RNAcentral.